AUUGAAUAUUGGGGUGUCGGCCAAGUGCUUAGCCAGGAGCCUGUCUGCGGCAUGGCUCAGCCAGGCGGGAUGUGACAUUCCCUCGUGGUCAGUGAGGCAUGCUGUCCUGGCUAUGACGAUUGGGAGGAUGUGAAACUGAAGCUGGGUGCUGGCGAAUCAUGGAGGCAGCUGGGAACCUCAGUGUCUCAGGCUCAGUUCCUCAGCUGGGAAUGAGAAAAGGGUGUGGCUUAGGAGAGGGCCAGGCGUCUCAAGUGGCUAAAGAAUAAAUGCAUGAAAAUUAAGAGCCAGCUCUGCCUGCGAAAGAGAACAGGAGCAAGCUGGCUGUUGGCUGUCAUCUGGAGUCACCUACUGGGAAGUGCCGAAUCACCCCAGACCAAGGACAGGAAGGAGGCUUGUUUUCUUUCAGGUCUUCUGGUUGAGUGAGGAAGAGGUUUCAGUUUGGUGAUGGCAACGUCCUUAAGACUUCACUUGCUUCCCUCUCUCUGUUCUUUUGAGAGCGGGUCUCCACCAAGCAUUUUAGCAGGGUCUCACUCUGUCACCCCAGGCUGGAGUGCAGUGGCAGGAUGGCAGCUCACUGCAGCCUCGACCACCCUGGCUCAAGCUAUCCUCCCACCUCAGCCUAAGAGAAACUCUUGGAACGGAAAACCAAAUACCACAUAUCCUCAGUUAUAAGUGGGAGCUAAAUGAUGAGAACACGUGGACACAAAGAGGGGAACAGCAGACACCGAGGCCUACUUGAGGGUGGAAGUUGGGAGGAGGGAGAGGAGCAGAAAAGAUAACUUUUGGGUACUGGGCUUAAUACCCGGGUGAUGAAAUAAUCUGUACAACAAACCCCCAUGAGAUGAGUUUUCCUGUGUAACACCGAACCUAAAAUAAAAGCUAAAAAUAAAAUUAAGUUAAAAGA
RNAcentral lists this long non-coding RNA (904 nucleotides) under Homo sapiens (human). Its description in RNAcentral is "HSALNT0305410". The record is from RNAcentral. Lineage: Eukaryota; Metazoa; Chordata; Mammalia; Primates; Hominidae.